CAAGUCGAGCGAACAGACGAGGAGCUUGCUCCUCUGACGUUAGCGGCGGACGGGUGAGUAACACGUGGAUAACCUACCUAUAAGACUGGGAUAACUUCGGGAAACCGGAGCUAAUACCGGAUAAUAUAUCGAACCGCAUGGUUCAAUAGUGAAAGACGGUUUUGCUGUCACUUAUAGAUGGAUCCGCGCCGCAUUAGCUAGUUGGUAAGGUAACGGCUUACCAAGGCAACGAUGCGUAGCCGACCUGAGAGGGUGAUCGGCCACACUGGAACUGAGACACGGUCCCGACUCCUACGGGAGGCAGCAGUAGGGAAUCUUCCGCAAUGGGCGAAAGCCUGACGGAGCAACGCCGCGUGAGUGAUGAAGGUCUUCGGAUCGUAAAACUCCGUUAUUAGGGAAGAACAAAUGUGUAAGUAACUAUGCACGUCUUGACGGUACCUAAUCAGAAAGCCACGGCUAACUACGUGCCAGCAGCCGCGGUAAUACGUAGGUGGCAAGCGUUAUCCGGAAUUAUUGGGCGUAAAGCGCGCGUAGGCGGUUUUUUAAGUCUGAUGUGAAAGCCCACGGCUCAACCGUGGAGGGUCAUUGGAAACUGGAAAACUUGAGUGCAGAAGAGGAAAGUGGAAUUCCAUGUGUAGCGGUGAAAUGCGCAGAGAUAUGGAGGAACACCAGUGGCGAAGGCGACUUUCNUGGUCUGUAACUGACGCUGAUGUGCGAAAGCGUGGGGAUCAAACAGGAUU
RNAcentral lists this ribosomal RNA (740 nucleotides) under uncultured Staphylococcus sp. RNAcentral's name for it is "bacterial SSU rRNA". It matches the Rfam family "Bacterial small subunit ribosomal RNA", at positions 58 to 779 of the family's 1533-position model. Lineage: Bacteria; Bacillati; Bacillota; Bacilli; Caryophanales; Staphylococcaceae. The record is from RNAcentral.